UACGUAGGGUGCAAGCGUUAAUCGGAAUUACUGGGCGUAAAGCGUGCGCAGGCGGUGAUGUAAGACAGAUGUGAAAUCCCCGGGCUCAACCUGGGAACUGCAUUUGUGACUGCAUCGCUGGAGUGCGGCAGAGGGGGAUGGAAUUCCGCGUGUAGCAGUGAAAUGCGUAGAUAUGCGGAGGAACACCGAUGGCGAAGGCAAUCCCCUGGGCCUGCACUGACGCUGAGGCGCGAAAGCGUGGGGAGCAAACAGG
Molecule: ribosomal RNA, 253 nt
Filed under: uncultured bacterium
Lineage: Bacteria
Description: partial 16S ribosomal RNA
Rfam family: Bacterial small subunit ribosomal RNA
Source: RNAcentral